UACGAAGGGGGCUAGCGUUGUUCGGAAUCACGGGGCGUAAAGCGUACGUAGGCGGAUCGUUAAGUCAGGGGUGAAAGCCUGGAGCUCAACUCCAGAACUGCCUUUGAUACUGGCGAUCUUGAGACCGGGAGAGGUGAGUGGAACUGCUAGUGUAGAGGUGAAAUUCGUAGAUAUUAGCAAGAACACCAGUGGCGAAGGCGGCUCACUGGCCCGGUACUGACGCUGAGGUACGAAAGCGUGGGGAGCAAACAGG
Molecule: ribosomal RNA, 253 nt
Filed under: uncultured bacterium
Lineage: Bacteria
Description: partial 16S ribosomal RNA
Rfam family: Bacterial small subunit ribosomal RNA
Source: RNAcentral